UACGUAGGUGGCAAGCGUUGUCCGGAAUUAUUGGGCGUAAAGCGCGCGCAGGCGGUCCUUUAAGUCUGAUGUGAAAGCCCACGGCUCAACCGUGGAGGGUCAUUGGAAACUGGGGGACUUGAGUACAGAAGAGAAGAGUGGAAUUCCACGUGUAGCGGUGAAAUGCGUAGAGAUGUGGAGGAACACCAGUGGCGAAGGCGACUCUGUGGUCUGUAACUGACGCUGAGGCGCGAAAGCGUGGGGAGCGAACAGG
RNAcentral lists this ribosomal RNA (253 nucleotides) under uncultured bacterium. RNAcentral describes it as "partial 16S ribosomal RNA". It matches the Rfam family "Bacterial small subunit ribosomal RNA", at positions 524 to 776 of the family's 1533-position model. The record is from RNAcentral.